AGAGGCACAGGACAGCAGCAGGUUAUACCUCCCAAUGUACUGGGCUCCUUUGUGGAGACCCUGUCCUGUGUCCUGUUCCCUAAGAGGUCAGACAUGAGUUGAAUGGCAGGGGGACCCCACAGUCACGGCAGUUUGCAGGGAGGUUGGAUUUCUGUCAUUGUGGGCCUAGCAUUAAGGCUCCCAUCACACCUGCUAUCCUCUUCAGCCCCAGCUGACAGCCUGAGUCCUGCCUGUGUGUUCCUUGAGCUCAGAUAGACGGAUCCGAAGAAACUUCCCGAAUGUGUUUCUCAAGGGUUCCUCCCCAGUGUCCCCUGCAUUAGGUUUGCAGAGUCACCAUCUUCUGAUGCCAGUGUGGACUCCUCGCUCACCCCUGUUUGUCUAGUGCUCUUGGUUUCCAGCCCAGGAUGGGGAGUGUUCCAUAGUUGGUGGCUUCCCAUCGCUGCAUGAGGAUGGAGCAUCCAGAGUGGGUUCUGCUCUUGACAGAAGUGGAGCCACAGUACAGACCGGUUUGGCCAGCCAUCAAGCUCCUGGAAGCUCAGCCUGGUACUUAGCUGAGUGACUUAGUCACACACUGCUCCCACCUGAGGUCCAGCUGGUUUUCCAUUCCACCUCAGGGUCAGCCUUGCUGGAGAAUUGCAGGCUCUUGGCCCAUGGACUAUGCCAUCAGGAGCAAUCAGUCUGCACAGCACAGAGGACCUAGCCCUGGUGCUUGCCUGAGCAUGGGUGUUGCUUUUAUUAGUUUCUAACUUAAUAAAAGUGAGGAAGUUCUUGACCUCCUUUGGGUUCUGA
This 789-nucleotide long non-coding RNA is filed under the name Rattus norvegicus (Norway rat). RNAcentral's name for it is "long non-coding RNA NONRATT002772". The record is from RNAcentral. Lineage: Eukaryota; Metazoa; Chordata; Mammalia; Rodentia; Muridae.